UGGGGGAUAUUGCACAAUGGGCGAAAGCCUGAUGCAGCGACGCCGCGUGGGGGAUGAAGGCCUUCGGGUUGUAAACUUCUUUUGCUCUGAACAAGGCGCACCAUGGGGUGUGUUGAGUGUAGGGGUUGAUUAGCGCCGGCUAACUACGUGCCAGCAGCCGCGGUAAUACGUAGGGCGCGAGCGUUGUCCGGAAUUAUUGGGCGUAAAGGGCUUGUAGGUGGCUGGUUGCGUCUGUCGUGAAAGCUCAUGGCUUAACUGUGGGUUUGCGGUGGGUACGGGCUGGCCUGAGUGCAGUAGGGGAGGCUGGAAUUCCUGGUGUAGCGGUGGAAUGCGCAGAUAUCAGGAGGAAUACCGGUGGCGAAGGCGGGUCUCUGGGCUGUUACUGACACUGAGGAGCGAAAGCAUGGGGAGCGAACAGG
This 419-nucleotide ribosomal RNA is filed under the name bacterium. RNAcentral describes it as "partial 16S ribosomal RNA". It matches the Rfam family "Bacterial small subunit ribosomal RNA", at positions 355 to 776 of the family's 1533-position model. The record is from RNAcentral.